CCCUUCAGAGGGGGGAAACAGUUGGAAACGACUGCUAAUACCGCAUACGAUCUAAUCUCGGCAUCGAGGAUGGAUGAAAGGUGGCCUCUAUUUAUAAGCUAUCACUGAAGGAGGGGAUUGCGUCUGAUUAGCUAGUUGGAGGGGUAACGGCCCACCAAGGCGAUGAUCAGUAGCCGGUCUGAGAGGAUGAACGGCCACAUUGGGACUGAGACACGGCCCAG
Molecule: ribosomal RNA, 221 nt
Filed under: uncultured bacterium
Lineage: Bacteria
Description: partial 16S ribosomal RNA
Rfam family: Bacterial small subunit ribosomal RNA
Source: RNAcentral